UUGGACAACAAUAAUGCAUUAGGACUAAAAUGUAGUUGAUUGAUGACAAAGUGUUGUCAUUGACAUAGGGAUGUCAAAAUCACUACAUGAGUAUAUGUUAGAGAAUGACAUAUUAGACUGACCCGCUAUGAGUAUGUUUCUUGGAUUAUUAUAUAAUAGUCACAACAUUGGUCAUAGUGAUUGUAAUAGCCCAUUUUUCCCGGCCCCAUAAAUACCAAAAAAAAAUAAAAAAGUAAAAGUCCAAUAAUUCAGACCCAAAUUAAUUAAAAUUACAUUUACCCAAAUACCCAAACCCGAAUAAGACCCAAAUCCCAAAUUCACUAAACCCAUUUACAAAAUCCAUUUUUGCAGCCCAGUAACAUUGAAGCCCAAAGCAAUCUCCAAAAACCCCUAAGGUGUCUAGAGCAAACUGCAACAGCA
Molecule: long non-coding RNA, 420 nt
Filed under: Gossypium raimondii (Peruvian cotton)
Lineage: Eukaryota; Viridiplantae; Streptophyta; Magnoliopsida; Malvales; Malvaceae
Description: long non-coding RNA (GRAI_LNC004282)
Source: RNAcentral